Molecule: ribosomal RNA, 497 nt
Filed under: uncultured bacterium
Lineage: Bacteria
Description: partial 16S ribosomal RNA
Rfam family: Bacterial small subunit ribosomal RNA
Source: RNAcentral
GAUGAACGCUGGCGGCGUGCCUAAUACAUGCAAGUCGAGCGAACAGACGAGGAGCUUGCUCCUCUGACGUUAGCGGCGGACGGGUGAGUAACACGUGGAUAACCUACCUAUAAGACUGGGAUAACUUCGGGAAACCGGAGCUAAUACCGGAUAAUAUAUUGAACCGCAUGGUUCAAUAGUGAAAUACGGUUUUGCUGGCACUUAUAGAUGGAUCCGCGCCGCAUUAGCUAGUUGUUAAGUUAACGGCUUACCAAGGCAACGAUGCGUAGCCGACCUGAGAGGGGGAUCGGCCACACUGGAACUGAGACACGGUCCAGACUCCUACGGGAGGCAGCAGUAGGGAAUCUUCCGCAAUGGGCGAAAGCCUGACGGAGCAACGCCGCGUGAGUGAUGAAGGUCUUCGGAUCGUAAAACUCUGUUAUGAGGGAAGAACAAAUGUGUAAGUAACUAUGCACGUCUUGACGGUACCUAAUCAGAAAGCCACGGCUAACUACGUG